This 586-nucleotide long non-coding RNA is filed under the name Salvia miltiorrhiza (redroot sage). RNAcentral's name for it is "long non-coding RNA (SMIL_LNC013088)". The record is from RNAcentral. Lineage: Eukaryota; Viridiplantae; Streptophyta; Magnoliopsida; Lamiales; Lamiaceae.
UUCGUUGCCUUGUUGAGUGUGAGAGACGAAAGGGAGACGGGUGCGGGCUGUCCGAGCUCGACGUCGAGCUGUCAAGGCCGCGGCUGCCGGCGCUGCAUGCGUUGCAGCAGCCCGCCGGCCACCCACGGCCAAGACAGACGGAGUCGGAGCGAGGCGGCGUCGUGGGCGAGGCUGGGGCGGCGCGGCCGAAGGCCAAGCGCCGCUAACGCGGCGUGAACGAAGCAGCAGCGGCUGCCGGAAACGCGAGGGAAGGCGAUGAGUGAGGGAGGCCUCGGAUCUGGCGAUUUUCGCCGGGGUUGGAGCAGGCGGCGGCGGCGGAUCUAUGGAGGGAGAAGAGAAGAGGUGGUGGUUUUGAGAGAGAGAGGAAAAGAGAAGUUUUAGAGAGAUAGGCGGAUGGGAGGUGGUGAGAGAGGGAAGACCGGAGGUGGUUUGCGGCGAUGAUUCCGCCGGACUUGGAGCGGCGGCGGCAGAAGCCGAUGGCCGUCCGGCCAAGAGAGAGAGGGGCAGCGGUUUUGAGGGAGAAAGGAGGAAAAAGAGAGAGGAGAGAGGGGGAGCCGAGAGUGGGUGUGAGGAGAGAGAAAAGAAG